AACGAACGCUGGCGGCAGGCUUAACACAUGCAAGUCGAUCGCUCUUUUCGGAGAGAGAGGCGCACGGGUGAGUAACACGUGGGAAUAUGCCUUGGAGUACGGAAUAACUGAGGGAAACUUCAGCUAAUACCGUAUACGCCCUACGGGGGAAAGAUUUAUCGCUCCAAGAUUAGCCCGCGUCCGAUUAGCUAGUUGGUAGGGUAAUGGCCUACCAAGGCGACGAUCGGUAGCUGGUCUGAGAGGAUGAUCAGCCACACUGGGACUGAGACACGGCCCAGACUCCUACGGGAGGCAGCAGUGGGGAAUAUUGGACAAUGGGGGCAACCCUGAUCCAGCCAUGCCGCGUGAGUGAUGAAGGCCUUCGGGUUGUAAAGCUCUUUCAGACGUGACGAUGAUGACGGUAGCGUCAGAAGAAGCCCCGGCUAACUUCGUG
This 433-nucleotide ribosomal RNA is filed under the name uncultured bacterium. Its description in RNAcentral is "bacterial SSU rRNA". It matches the Rfam family "Bacterial small subunit ribosomal RNA", at positions 29 to 507 of the family's 1533-position model. The record is from RNAcentral.